This is a ribosomal RNA of Lepisosteus oculatus (spotted gar), 119 nucleotides long. Lineage: Eukaryota; Metazoa; Chordata; Actinopteri; Semionotiformes; Lepisosteidae. The record is from Ensembl.
GCCAGCAGCCAUAUCACCCUGCAAUUCACAACUGGCAACCCACUGAAGCUAAGCACGUGUGAGCCUGGUCAGUACCUGGAUGGGAGACCUCCUGGGAAUAACUAAGGUUGCUGCUGGAA